UGAGUGGACUGUAGGUUUUGUGGUUCUUGUGAAAUAUAAACACUUUAUCACUAUUACUGGGUGUUUAUUGGUAUUUAUAGAAAGUACAAAGGUUUUUACAGGCACA
Molecule: non-coding RNA, 106 nt
Organism: Bombyx mori (domestic silkworm)
Lineage: Eukaryota; Metazoa; Arthropoda; Insecta; Lepidoptera; Bombycidae
Source: RefSeq, marked provisional